Molecule: ribosomal RNA, 300 nt
Filed under: uncultured Sulfurimonas sp.
Lineage: Bacteria; Pseudomonadati; Campylobacterota; Epsilonproteobacteria; Campylobacterales; Sulfurimonadaceae
Description: bacterial SSU rRNA
Rfam family: Bacterial small subunit ribosomal RNA
Source: RNAcentral
GUGGAAUCUGUGCCAGGAGCGGGGGUAGUGUGGAGGUGGCGAGAUGUGCUCGGAUUUACGGGGCGUAAAUGGUGGUGAGGUGGAUAUUUAAGUGGGAUGUGAAAUACUCUGGCUUAACCUGAGUGCUGCAUUCCAAACUGGAUAUCGAGAGUGCAGGGGAGGAAAGUAGAAUUCCUAGUGUAGCGGUGAAAUGCGUAGAGAUUAGGAAGAAUACCAGUGGCGAAGGCGACUUUCUGGACUGUAACUGACACUGAGGCUCGAAAGCGUGGGGAGCAAACAGGAUUAGAUACCCCAGUAGUC